RNAcentral lists this ribosomal RNA (492 nucleotides) under uncultured bacterium. Its description in RNAcentral is "partial 16S ribosomal RNA". It matches the Rfam family "Bacterial small subunit ribosomal RNA", at positions 29 to 507 of the family's 1533-position model. The record is from RNAcentral.
AGUGAACGCUGGCGGUAGGCCUAACACAUGCAAGUCGAACGGCAGCACAGUAAGAUCUUGCUCUUACGGGUGGCGAGUGGCGGACGGGUGAGGAAUACAUCGGAAUCUACUUUUUCGUGGGGGAUAACGUAGGGAAACUUACGCUAAUACCGCAUACGACCUACGGGUGAAAGCAGGGGAUCUUCGGACCUUGCGCGAUUGAAUUAGCCGAUGUCGGAUUAGCUAGUUGGCUGGGUAAAGUCCCACCAAGGCGACGAUCCGUAGCUGGUCUGAGAGGAUGAUCGGCCACACUGGAACUGAGACACGGUCCAGACUCCUACGGGAGGCAGCAGUGGGGAAUAUUGGGCAAUGGGCGCAAGCCUGAUCCAGCAAUACCGCGUGGGUGAAGAAGGCCUUCGGGUUGUAAAGCCCUUUUGUUGGGAAAGAACAGAAGCAGGUUAAUACCCCGCUGUUCUGACGGUACCCAAAGAAUAAGCACCGGCUAACUUCGUG